AUGGCCAUGAGGGCUCUCGCGCUUUCCCCGUCCCAGAGCUCCUCAUUUGGGCUCCACCAGAGUAUGCCCUCCUUCAAGCCAAGCAGCACCAGUCCUGCUAGAUCAGUCAGGGCCUAUGCGAAAGCGGAUGAGCAGGAGGAGAAGAAGAAGGUGCCCAAGCAGUCCUUGUUUGGGAACAUCACCGAGGCGCUGGACUUCUCGCAGGUCCGGUCGGAGAAGGAUGCGGAGCUGCUGUAUGAGGCCAGGGAUUCCAUCAAAGAUGAAGGAAGGAUGACAAGGGAACAGUAUGCAGCCCUUCGGAGGAAGAUUGGUGGCACCUACAAGGAUUUCUUCAAGUCAUAUGUUGAAGUUGACGGUGAAUACGUGGAGGAAGGUUGGGUGGACAAGACCUGCAAAGUUUGCAAGAAAGACACAAGAGGGGAGCCAAGGCAAGUUGACAAUCUAGGAAGAUAUAUGCAUGUGGCGUGCGCAGAGAACUCGAAACCAACAAACUUCUUUUCCAAGCUCUUCGGCAGAUGA
This 519-nucleotide ribosomal RNA is filed under the name Triticum aestivum (bread wheat). RNAcentral describes it as "partial small subunit ribosomal RNA". The record is from RNAcentral. Lineage: Eukaryota; Viridiplantae; Streptophyta; Magnoliopsida; Poales; Poaceae.